GAGCGAACAGACGAGGAGCUUGCUCCUCUGAUGUUAGCGGCGGACGGGUGAGUAACACGUGGAUAACCUACCUAUAAGACUGGGAUAACUUCGGGAAACCGGAGCUAAUACCGGAUAACAUGUUGAACCGCAUGGUUCAACAGUGAAAGACGGUCUUGCUGUCACUUAUAGAUGGAUCCGCGCCGCAUUAGCUAGUUGGUAAGGUAACGGCUUACCAAGGCAACGAUGCGUAGCCGACCUGAGAGGGUGAUCGGCCACACUGGAACUGAGACACGGUCCAGACUCCUACGGGAGGCAGCAGUAGGGAAUCUUCCGCAAUGGGCGAAAGCCUGACGGAGCAACGCCGCGUGAGUGAAGAAGGUCUUCGGAUCGUAAAACUCUGUUAUUAGGGAAGAACAAAUGUGUAAGUAACUAUGCACGUCUUGACGGUACCUAAUCAGAAAGCCACGGCUAACUACGUGCCAGCAGCCGCGGUAAUACGUAGGUGGCAAGCGUUAUCCGGAAUUAUUGGGCGUAAAGCGCGCGUAGGCGGUUUUUUAAGUCUGAUGUGAAAGCCCACGGCUCAACCGUGGAGGGUCAUUGGAAACUGGAAAACUUGAGUGCAGAAGAGGAAAGUGGAAUUCCAUGUGUAGCGGUGAAAUGCGCAGAGAUAUGGAGGAACACCAGUGGCGAAGGCGACUUUCUGGUCUGUAACUGACGCUGAUGUGCGAAAGCGUGGGGAUCAAACAGGAUUA
RNAcentral lists this ribosomal RNA (734 nucleotides) under uncultured Staphylococcus sp. Its description in RNAcentral is "bacterial SSU rRNA". It matches the Rfam family "Bacterial small subunit ribosomal RNA", at positions 64 to 780 of the family's 1533-position model. The record is from RNAcentral. Lineage: Bacteria; Bacillati; Bacillota; Bacilli; Caryophanales; Staphylococcaceae.